GUAAAAUCUGAAAAUGAAUUUCCCUCCGAAGAGGCCGCACAGCAUAGGUUACAGUAGUUGAAAGAAAAUGGCGAGAAGAACAAGGGAAAGGACUCCAAUAAACUGAUGAAUUGAACCAUAAAAUUAUUUAAUAUUAAUGCUUUGUAGGUGCUUUUGGCUUCUCCACUAACCAAAAUUUCUAUUUCUAUUUCCAUUUUGAUUUGAUUCCAAUACAAAACCCUCCUUUUUGGUCUCUCGAAUCUUCUUAGCUUCUCCUUUUCACUCACCUACACCCGUCCUGUUUGAGAUGAUGAUUAUGUAGACAUACCAGCGGUUCAAUUUCUGAGGAGAUACAGUGGUUUGGUUUAGAUUUAGGCGAGAAAAUGGACAAGAGUAAGAAGAAAGAAGUAAUUCGAUUGGAAAGGGAAUCUGUAAUUCCAAUUCUCAAGCCUAAGCUCAUCAUGACAUUGGCCAACCUCAUUGAACAUAGUUCUGACCGGGCUGAGUUUCUAAAGCUCUGCAAGAGAGUUGAGUACACAAUUCGAGCUUGGUAUCUUCUGCAGUUUGAAGAUUUGAUGCAACUAUAUUCCCUGUUUGACCCAGUAACUGGGGCUCAGAAAUUGGAGCAGCAGAAACUAUCUCCUGAAGAAAUUGAUGUGCUUGAACAGAAUUUCCUAACAUACUUAUUUCAGGUGAUGGAUAAAAGCAACUUCAAGAUAGCAACUAAUGAGGAGAUUGAUGUUGCACUCUCAGGGCAGUAUCUUUUAAACCUUCCCAUCAAAGUAGAUGAAUCCAAGCUUGACAAGGAGCUUUUGAAGAAGUAUUUUGCUGAGCAUCCUCAUGAAAAUCUUCCUGACUUUGCUGAUAAGUAUGUUAUCUUUCGACGUGGGAUUGGGAUUGAUCAGACAACUGAUUACUUUGUUAUGGAGAAAGUGGACAUGCUCAUUGCACGCUUUUGGGCAUUUAUUCUAAGAGUGACUCGGAUAGAAAAAUUUUUGCAUAGAAGAUCAAGUGGAAGGCGUAAAAGAGAUCCAAAAAAGGAUGAUGAAAUUGACUCUGAAGCAGCUCAGGAUGACUUAUGUGUUGAACGUAUUCGUCUGGAGAAUAUGGAACUAAGUUUUAGGAAUUUGCUAAGCAGUACUACAAUCCAAGAACCUACAUUUGAUAGGAUAAUUGUAGUUUACAGGUAUUGCUUAUAUCCAUUUAUUUUUUAACUAUUGCUUUCUAAAUAAUGUCAUUGUGAACAUGUUUUGCAUGGUCAUAUAACAAUUUGUUGGUGAUUCUUAGCACAAGGCAAUAUUAUUUGAUUGUUGAACUCUAUUAACAUGAUGCAUGUAACUGCCAGUAUUUUGAUUCGGAGGAAUUGGUACUUUUCACAUCAGGAAGUUGAGGGAUCUUUUGCAUGUUAGACAAAGCUAUUUUGGUGAUACUCUCAUGAGUUAUGGGAUUUUUUUUUUUUAAAUUCUUUUAUAAAAAGGGGAAAUGAUCUGAUCAUAAUUUUACUGAUACAAGAAGAAUGAUGAUUUUCCAGGCGAGUGAGUACCAAAUCAAAAACAGAACGAGGAAUAUAUGUGAAGCAUUUCAAAAAUAUUCCAAUGGCCGAUAUGGAAAUAGUUCUUCCUGAA
This 1604-nucleotide unclassified non-coding RNA is filed under the name Hevea brasiliensis (rubber tree). The record is from RNAcentral. Lineage: Eukaryota; Viridiplantae; Streptophyta; Magnoliopsida; Malpighiales; Euphorbiaceae.